Molecule: RNA transcript, 7510 nt
Organism: Globicephala melas (long-finned pilot whale)
Lineage: Eukaryota; Metazoa; Chordata; Mammalia; Artiodactyla; Delphinidae
Gene name: zinc finger protein 256-like
Source: RefSeq, a predicted model, not a curated record
UUCCAUACAGUUUUCCCUAAUGGCUGUACCGAUUUACAUUCCUACCAACAAUGUAGAAGGUUUUCCUUUUCUUCACAUCCUCACGAACAUGUAUCUCUUGUCUUUUUGAUAGUAGUGUUCCAGACAGGUGUGAGGUAUCUCAUUGUGGUUUGGAUUUGCAUUUCCCUGAUGUUAGUGAUUUUGAGCACCUUUUCACAUACCUGUUGAUCAUUUGUAUGUUUUGGAUAAAUAUCUGUUCAGGUCCUUUUGCCCAUUUUUAAUUGGAUUCUUUAGUUUUUUAUUGUUGAAUUGUAUGAGUUCUGAUAUUUUCUGGAUAUUAACCCCUUAUCAGAUAAAUCCUUUGCAAGUAUUUUCUCCUUUUCCUUAGGUUGUGUUUUCAUUUUGUUUCCCUUGCUAUAAAGAAGCUUUUCCAUUUGAUAUAGUCCCACUUGUUUAUUUUUGCUUUCAUUGCUUGUGCUAUGGGUGUUAUCUAAAAAAAAUCGUUGCCAACACCAAUGUCAAGGAGCUUUUUCUCUGUAUUUUCUUCUAAAAGUUUUACAAUUUCAGGGUUUAUGUUUCAAAAUUUUAAUCCGAUUCAAGUUAAUUUUUGUGAGUGGUGUGAGAUAAGGCUCUAGUUUCAUUUUUUUUGCUUGUGGAUAACCAGUGUUUCCAUCACAAUUUUUGGAAGAAGCUGUCCUUUCUCCAUUGUGUGUUCUUGUGCCUAUCAAAGAUCAGUUGACCACAUAUGCGUGAGUUUAUUUCUGGGCUCUGUAUUCUGUUCAGUUGAUCUAUGUGUCUAUUUUUAUGCCAGUACCAUAAUGUAUUAAUUACCAUAGAAUUGUAAUAGUUUGAAAUCAGAAAGUGUGGUGCCUCUAGAUUUGUCCUUUUUCAAGAUUGUUUUGGCUAUUUGGAAUUUUUCAUGGUUCCAUACAAAUUUUAGAAUUGUUUAUUCUAUUUCUGUGGAAAAUGUCAUUGGAAUUUUGAUAUGGAUUGUUUUCAAUCUGUAAAUUGCUCUUUGUAAAAUUAACAAUAUUAAUUUUUCCAAUCCAGGAAUACUGGAUAUCUUUCCAUUUGUUUAUGUCUUCUUUAGUUUCUUCCAUCGUUGUCUUAUGAUUUUCAGAAUGUAAAUCUUUCAUCCCCUAGAUUAAAUUUGUUCCUGAGUAUCUUAUUCUUUUGAUGCUAUUUAAAAUAAGAUUGCUUUCUUAAUUUUCUAUUCAGACAGUUUGUAAUUAGUGUAUAUAAAUGCAACUGAAAUUUGUAUAUUGGUUCUUUUUAUCCUGAAACUUUACUGAAUUCAUUUGUUAGGGUGGAAUUUUGGGAGUUUCUACAUAUAAGAGUGCGUUACCUGCAAACAAACACUUUUCCUUCUUCCAGUCCAAUUUGACUGCCUUUUCUUUCUUUUUCUUCUCUACUUAUUCUGGGUAGGGCUUCCUGUACUAUGUUGAAUAAAAACGGAUAGGGUAGGCAUCCUUGUCUUGUUCCUGAUGUUAGAGGAAAACCUUUUAGCUUUUGAAUGUUCGAUAUGAUGUUAGGUAUGGGCUUGUCAGACAUGUUGAAGUACAUUCCUUCUAUACCUAGCUUUUUUUUUAAAAAAACAAUUAAUUUGGCUGUGUCUGGUGUUAGUUGUGGUGUGCAGGAUCUUUUAGUUGUGUACAGGCUUCUCUCUAGUUGUGGUGUGCGGGCUCAGUAGCUGUGACCUACAGGCCCUCUAGUUAGAGCGCAUGGGCUCACUGGUUGCAGCGCACAGGCUCUGUAGUUAUGGCAUGUGGGCUCCAGAGCACGUGGGCUCAGUAGUUGUGGUGCAUGGGCUGAGUCAUUGCAGUGCAUGGGCUGAGUAGUUGCAGUGCAUGGGCUUAGUUCCCCAACCCAGGACUGAACUCGUGUCUCCUGCGUUUGAAGAUGGAUUCUUAACCACUGGACUACGAGGGAAGUCCCCCUUCUAUACCUAACUUGUUGAGAGUUUUUAUCAUGAAUGGAUAUUGAUUUUCAAAAUGGUUUUUCAGCAUCUAUUCAUAUGAUUAUGAUUUUUAUCCUUCGUUCUGAUAAUGUGGUGUAUCACAUUUAUUGAUUUGCACAUGAUUUUGAACCAUCUUUGCACCCCAAGGAUAAAUGCUACUUGAUUGUGAUGUAUGAUCCUGUAAAUGUGCUGUUGGAUUUGGUUUGCAAGUAUUUGGUUGAGGAUUUUUGCAUCUCUAUUCAUCAGGGAUUUUUUUUUUUUUUUACUUAUUUUAUUUAUUUAUUUUUGGCUUUGUUGGAUCUUAGUUGCUGUGUGUGGGCUUUCUCUAGUUGUGGCGAGUGGGGGCUCCUCUUUGUUGUGGUGCACGUGCUUCUCAUUGUGGUGGCUUCCCUUGUUGCAGAGCACGGGCUCUAGGCAUGCAGGCCUCAGUAGUUACAGCACACGUGUUCAGUAGUUGUGGCUCGCAGGCUCUAGAGCACAUGGGCUUAGUUGCUCCGCAGCCUGUAGGAUCUACCUGGACCAGGGCUCGAACCUGUGUCCUGUGCAUUGGCAGGCGGAUUCUUAAUCACUGUGCCACCAGGGACACCCUCAUCAGGGAUAUUGACCUGUAAUUUUCUUCUGUUGUAUUCUUCUUAAAUGGCUUUGAUAUCAGAGUAAUGCUGGUCUCAUAAAAUGAACUUGGAAGUGUUCCUGCUUCAAUUUUUUGGAAGACUUUGAGAAGGAUUGAUAUUAAUGUUUUAAAUAUUUAGUAGAUGGCUUUCCUGAUGGCACGGUGGUUGAGAGUCCGCCUGCUGAUGCAGAGGAUGCGGGUUCGUGCCCUGGUCCGGGAGGAUCACACUGCCAUUGAGCAGCUGGGCCCAUGAGCCAUGGCUGCUGAGCCUGCACGUCCGGAGCCUGUGCUCCACAAUGGGAGAGGCCACAACAGUGAGAGGCCCUCAUACCGCAAAACAUAAAUAAAUAAAUAAAUAAAUAAAUAAAUAUUUAGUAGAAUUCCCAGUGAUUUUGCCUAGUCCUGGGCUUUUCUUUGUUGGGAGAUUUUUUUUAUUAGUGAUUCAAUCUGCUUACCAGUUAUAGGUUAAUUCAUAUUUCCUAUUUUUUCAUGAUUUUAUUUUGGUAGGUUUUAUGUUUAUAGGAGUUUUAUUCAUUUCUUCUGAGUUAUCCAAUUUGUUGGCAAAUAAUUGUUCAUUCUAGUUUCUUCUGAUUGAUUGUAUUCCUGCAGUAUCAGUUGUUAUGUCUCCUCUUUCAUUUCUGAUUUUGAGUCGUCUCUCUUUUUUUCAUAAUCUAGCUAAAGGCUUGUCGAUUUAUCUUUUCAAAAAAACCAACUGUUGAGAUUUCCCUGGUGAUCAGUGGUUAGGACUCUGCACUUCCACUGUAGGGGGUCCAGGUUCAAUGCCUGGUCAGGGAACUAAGAUCCCAAAAGCCAUACAGAGUGGCCAAAAAACAAAGUAAAAAGUUUUUUUAAAAAAAUUUAAAAACCUCUUACUUUUAUUGGUGUUUUCUGUCAUUUUUCUAGUCUCUAUUUCAUUUAUUUCUGCUCUGAUCUUUAUUAUUUGUUUUAUUUCUGCUAACUUUAACCUUAGUCUGUUCUUUUUCUCAUACCUUGAGAUAUAGAGUUAGAUUGUUUAUUAGAGAUCAUUCUUUUUUCUUAAUGUAGUCAUUUAUUGCUAUAAACUAUCCUCUUACAAUUGCUUUUACUGCAGCCCAUAAGUUUUCGUGUGUUAUGUUUCCAUUUACAUUUGUUUGAAUAUGUUUUUUUUAAUCAUUUCUUGUUUAACCCAUAGGUCAUUCAGGAGUGUGUCAUUUAAAUUCUACGUAUUUGUGAAUUUCCCAGCUUUCCUCCUGUUAAUGAUUUCUAGUUUUGUACCAUUGUGGUUGGAAAAGAUAUUUAAUAUGUUUUCCAUCUUUUUAAAUUUGUUAAUACUUGUUUUGUGACCUAACAUGUGAUCUAUCCUAGAGAGUGUUCUCUGUGUACUUAAGAACGGGCUUCCCUGGUGGCGCAGUGGUUGAGAGUCCGCCUGCCGAUGCAGGGGACACAGGUGUCUGGAGUGGAGAAGAGAAUGUUGAGGCAUCCUUUGAACAGAAUGUUUCUGUGGUAAUGUCACAGGUCAGGACUUCCAAGGAACCUUCAUCUUCCCAGAAGACUCACCCCUGUGAGAUGUGUGGUCCAGUCUUGAGAGACAUUUUCCAUUUGACUGAGCAGCAGGGAACACAACACAGCCAGAAACUGUUCAAGUAUAGGGCAUGUGCAAAAGGAUUUUAUUUCAGUGCAGACACUCAGCAGCACCAGGAGCAACACAUGCAAGAAAAACCGUUCAUAAUCGGUGUGGACAGGGCCUCAUUUGUGAAGAGCAGCAAUUUCCAUGUGUCAGGGGAGGCUUUUACCUGCAAGAAAGUUGCAGAGGACUUCCUAGCCACCUCAGGACAUCUGAAUCAACAGGCCAUUCACACUGGGGAAAAGCCAAACACAGUCACCCACUGCAUGGAAACUUUACAAAGCAGAAAAAGUCAUUGCACCAGGGGAGAAUGCAAGAAAGCCUUCAGCCCCAAGCACACACUUGUUCAGGCCCAGAGUGUCUACACUGAAAGACAGUGUUUUAUGUGCAGUGAAUGUGGGAAAACAUUCAAGUAUAAAUCCUCAUUUGUUGUGCACCAGAGAAUUCACACUGGUGACAGGCUUUAUGACUGUGGCGACUGUGGAAAAUCUUUUAGGGGAAGCUCAGCCCUCAUUCAACAUCGAAGAAUUCAUACUGGGGCAAGGCAGUACAAGUGCAGCAAAUGUGGGAAAUCCUUUAGCCAAGAAUUUGUCUUCAUUUAUCCUCAGAGGAGUCACACUGGAGAAGAUUGCCACAUUUGCCAUCAGUGUGCACAAUCUUUUAGCCAUAGCUCCAUCUUUUUUCAACAACAGACAGUUCACACUGGAGAAAUGAGUUAUGAGUGCACUGAAUGUAGGAAGCCCUUUAGACGAAAAUCUGACCUCAUUGAACACUGGAGGGUUCACACAGGAGAAAGGCCUUAUGAGUGCAGUGAAUGUGGGAAAUCCUUUACUUCUAGCUCCGCCCUUCGUUAUCAUCAGAGAGUUCACACUGGAGAAAAGCCUUAUAAAUGUGGGGAAUGUGGGAAGUCUUUUACCUCUAGCUCUGGCCUACGUUAUCAUCAGAGAAUUCACACAGGAGAAAGGCCAUAUGAGUGUACUGAUUGUGGAAAGUCUUUUACCCAAAUAAAUCACCUCAUUAUACACCGAAGAGUUCACACAGGAGAAAGGCCUUAUGAGUGUAGUGAAUGUGGGAAAUCCUUUAGCCACAAAUCUUACCUGUCUCAACACCAGAGAGUUCACACUGGAGAAAGACCUUAUGAAUGUAGUGAAUGUGGGAAAUCUUUUACCUCUGGUUCUGCCCUCUGUUAUCAUCAGAGAGUUCACACAGGAGAAAAACCUUAUGAGUGCAGUGAAUGUGGGAAAUCCUUUACCAAUGGACCGAUACUCAUUCGACACCGUAGAGUUCACACAGGAGAAAGGCCUUAUGAGUGCAGUGAAUGUGGGAAAUCCUUUACCCAAAGAAAUCAUCUCAACAUACACCAGAGAGUUCACACAGGAGAAAGACCUUAUGAGUGCAUUGAAUGUGGGAAAUCUUUUACCUCUGGUUCUGCCCUGCGUUAUCAUCAGAAAAUUCACAUUGGAGAAAGGCCUUAUGAGUGCAGUGAAUGUGAGAAAUCUUUUACCUCUAGCUCUGCCCUCCGUUGUCAUCAGAGAGUUCACACAGGAGAAAGGCCUUUUGACUGCAGUGAAUGUGGUAAAUCUUUUAGGGACAGUUCCCAAUUGAAUCAACACCAGAGAGUUCACACUGGAGAAAAGCCUUAUGAAUGUAGUGAUUGUGGGAGAUCCUUUAGCCAGAAUUCAUACCUCUCUAAACACCGGAGAGUUCACACUGGAGAAAGGCCUUAUGAGUGCAGUGAAUGUGAGAAAUCUUUUACAUCUGUCUCUGCCCUUGGUUAUCAUCAGAGAGUUCACACUGGAGAAAGGCCUUAUAAGUGCAGUGACUGUGGGAAAUCUUUUACCAAUAGCUCAAUACUGAUUCGCCAUCGGAGAGUUCACACAGGAGAAAGGCCUCAUGCAUGUAGUGACUGUGGAAAGUCCUUUACCCAAAGAAUUCACCUCAUAAUUCACCGGAGAGUUCACACAGGAGAAAGGCCUUAUGAGUGCAGUGAAUGUGGGAAAUCUUUUACCUCUCGUUCCACCCUUCAUUAUCAUCAGAGAGUUCACACAGGAGAAAAGCCUUAUGACUGCAGCGAAUGUGGGAAGUCUUUUAGCCGAAAAUCUAACCUCUCUCAGCACCAGCGAGUUCACACUGGAGAAAGGCCUUAAAUGUGUAAGAAAUGUACAAUUUCCUUGUUCAGUGUAGUGACAUUGGAUGAAACUGAGGCACUAGUUGUCCCAUGCAUCCAAACAUCAGGAGUAGAGAGAUUCCUCAUAAUUUUCAGUUUUGUGGGAAGCAUGUGUGACUGUGUUACACUCUCUAACCUACCCAGGACUCUUGAUAGAUUUAUGUCACUGCCACUUUCUGUAGCCAGAUCCAUUUCACCUCUAUAAGCUGGCAUGUCCCCACAGUGUGCAUCAGUCACUACUGCAGUGUGCUCAGGGAAGCCAACUCUGUUCUCUCAUUUCUGGGAGGAAAUUAGGAAUAACCUGAACCUUUAGGAUUCCCUUUCUGACCAGCUUGGGCAUGGGCCUGACCUACUAUUGGCCCAGAGAACAUCAUAUGAGUUCAUCUGGCAGCUUCCAGAGAAGGAUUACCAUUUUCAGGGACAUGUUGGUCUCAAGAUACUUGUGAUGAAGUUUCAUACCUUCUGAGUCACCAGCUAAAGAACUGCCAGCCAUUGCUUUCAGAUCUGCCAGAACAUUGCCAGAACAGUAACAAAGACCUUACUGUUUUAAGUCCUCUUUAAUCUUGGAUAUUCUAUUUACCAAAUAGGGUAGGUUAUAAACAGAUUUGGGCAUGAAGGGGCGAGCAACUUUUAUGGGGGUAUCAAAUUUCUGUGCCUCAGAGGAGACAUUACAAAGGCAGAAAUUAACUUACUAGUUUUUGUCAAAUUUGCAUUUCUGCCCGUGGCCUCCUAGGAAAGACUGCAGGACUUUCUUGUCUUCAUUUGAGGCCUGGAUGCUAUGAGUUUUAGGAGACUCAGAGGGCACCCUGAGGAGGGGUCCGGUGUGAAAACCUCAACUGCUUCUGGGAGCAGCAUGAAUUUUUUCCCUUGUUCACAGGGCAUGUCAGCAAUGCUGAGGGAACUCUCUUCCCCAGGUCUUACAAAGAGCCAGGCAGAUUUUAAAAAAAAAAAGAGAGAAAAGGAGAAUCUGUAGUCCACAGAUGUGUCUCUUGUGACCCAGGCCGCAUUCCUGUUGACUCUGGUGGAAAGUCAUUGCUCACUCUAUUUGCUGUCUUUGAGCUUGCGGGAUCUUAGUUUCCCAACCAGGCCUCAUCAGUGAAAGUGCAGAGUCCUAACUACUGGACUGCCAGGGAAUUCCCAUUGUUUUCAUUCUUACCAGCAGUGUAUGAGAGCUCCAUUUCUUCCACAUCCUGG